Non-coding RNA from Corylus avellana, 101 nucleotides. NCBI's taxonomy places the organism in Eukaryota, Viridiplantae, Streptophyta, Magnoliopsida, Fagales, Betulaceae. The record is from RefSeq and is a predicted model, not a curated record.
CUCUUUUUAGUUCGGGACAUCCGAUAAAAUUAGAACGAUACAGAGAAGAUUAGUAUGGUGUAACGAUAACACGGAUAAAUCAAGAAAUGGUAUAAUUUUUU